RNAcentral lists this unclassified non-coding RNA (260 nucleotides) under Hevea brasiliensis (rubber tree). The record is from RNAcentral. Lineage: Eukaryota; Viridiplantae; Streptophyta; Magnoliopsida; Malpighiales; Euphorbiaceae.
GAGAACAUAGAGAGUAUUGGAUUAACGACGGUAUUUACGGUUCCAUGAACUGUAUCUUAUACGAUCAUGCAACUAUCAAGUGCGCGCCUCUCGCGUGCACUUCAAAUCGUGUAAACCCCACGUGCAAAGGAUCGAGGACGUAUAGCUCGACUGUUUUUGGUCCCACGUGUGAUGCGCUUGACACGGUUUUAAAAGGUCACCCAUUACCGGAAGUGCAGGUCAACGAUUGGCUGGUGUUCCCCUGCAUGGGAGCAUAUACG